This 78-nucleotide ribosomal RNA is filed under the name Clostridium botulinum. RNAcentral describes it as "partial 16S ribosomal RNA". It matches the Rfam family "Bacterial small subunit ribosomal RNA", at positions 1459 to 1533 of the family's 1533-position model. Lineage: Bacteria; Bacillati; Bacillota; Clostridia; Eubacteriales; Clostridiaceae. The record is from RNAcentral.
AAGGUAGGGUCAGCGAUUGGGGUGAAGUCGUAACAAGGUAGCCGUAGGAGAACCUGCGGCUGGAUCACCUCCUUUCUA